This is a long non-coding RNA of Bos taurus (domestic cattle), 1290 nucleotides long. The record is from Ensembl. Lineage: Eukaryota; Metazoa; Chordata; Mammalia; Artiodactyla; Bovidae.
CUCUUUAUAUACCCAGAAGUAGACUCCUUCAUUUUACUGGUAAUGUCAGAUUGUUUUUCAAAGCACUCAGACCCACAGCAGUAAGAUAUCCACAUCCUCUAAUACUUGCAUUGUCAAAUUUUUAAUUUUUGUCAAUUUCAGCAGGUGUAAAAUGGUAUUACGUUACCUAAUUUGAAUUUCCCUGAUUACCAAUACGUCUAAGCGUUUUUUUGACUGCUCAGUAGCCACUAGGGUCGCCCAUUUUGAGAAAUGCCUGUUUUUAACUCACUUUUUCUGUAGUUUAUUGCCCUUUAAAUGUACUGCAAAUAUUUUCUCCCACUUUGUGACCUGCCUCUUUACAGAAAUCGUUUGAUAACAAGGAUGUUCUUAAUUUUAAUACUGUCACACUUACAAUCUUUUCUUUUAGGAUGACAUCUUCUUUGAAGCUCAGUUAAAAGCUCUUUGUUACCCCAAUCAGGAAGUCUUCUAUAUUUUAACAUUUAAAACACUUUGAUUUUCGUAUCAAGCCCUAUAUAAAAUCCAUCUGGAACUGAUUUUGUGUAUGCAUCUAGAUACACAUUUUUUUUUCCCAUAUGCAUAACCAGUUGUUUCGUAACAAUUUACUGAACAGUUCCUUCUUCCCACAUGAUCUGUAACGCUACCUCUGGUGUAUAUAAAAAUCCCAUUUAUUCUCUGUUCAGUUGGUUAGAUGAGUAUGUCCCUGUACCAUUAUUAUUAAUUACUACAGCCUUAAUGCUAUUCUUGACCUCUGGUACUCCUGUUUUUGUUUUUUUUUUUUUUUACUCUUCAGGAAGGUCCUGCUCAUUCUUAGCCCUUUACAGAUUAUUUCUUACUCAUUCUAGAUUCUUUCAUACGUUUUGGGAGAGAAAAAAGUAUGUCACUUAAGGUCCCCAUUUUUGUUGGAGUGUUCUUUUACCUUUCCUCCCCAACCUUUCCAGUUCUAUUUCUACUUUAAGUGAUUACAGUCCUGCUAGAAAACUCAUAAAGAAUAAAAGAAUAUACAGUAAAAACUGUCUUUAAACAAACUCUGUCCCCUGGCACCCAGGUGUCCUCCCAAUAGUUUGUGUGUACCCUGUAGGCAUUUUACGCAUAAAGCAGCUAAUGUAUAUUGUGCUUUUUCCUAGUUUAUACAAAUGAGAGUAACAAAUCAAACACAGUUGCCAACUUCUUGCUUCUUCAUUUAUUAUAUCUUGAAGAUUGUUCCGUAUCAGUUAAUAAAGUUCUUCUCGUUUUACACAAGUGUAAUUUCAGUCUGUUUACCAAUUUCUUUGUUCACCAGGCUUCUUGCAG